GGUGAUAGCGUGCCUUUUGUAGAAUGAACCGGCGAGUUACGAUUACGUGCAAGGUUAAGUCGAUGAGACGGAGCCGUAGCGAAAGCGAGUCUGAAUAGGGCGCAUGAGUACGUGGUCGUAGACCCGAAACCAGGUGAUCUACCCAUGUCCAGGGUGAAGUUCAGGUAACACUGAAUGGAGGCCCGAACCGACUCACGUUGAAAAGUGAGCGGAUGAGGUGUGGGUAGGGGUGAAAUGCCAAUCGAACCUGGAGAUAGCUGGUUCUCUCCGAAAUAGCUUUAGGGCUAGCCUCAUGUGUUAGAGUCUUGGAGGUAGAGCACUGAUUGGACUAGGGGUCCUCAUCGGAUUACCGAAUUCAGUCAAACUCCGAAUGCCAAAGACUUAUCCAUGGGAGUCAGACUGCGAGUGAUAAGAUCCGUAGUCAAGAGGGAAACAGCCCAGACCGCCAGCUAAGGUCCCCAAGUAUACGUUAAGUGGAAAAGGAUGUGGAGUUGCUUAGACAACCAGGAUGUUGGCUUAGAAGCAGCCACCAUUUAAAGAGUGCGUAAUAGCUCACUGGUCGAGUGACUCUGCGCCGAAAAUGUACCGGGGCUAAACGUAUCACCGAAGCUGCGGACUGUUCUUACGAACAGUGGUAGGAGAGCGUUCUAAGUGCGUCGAAGCUAGACCGUAAGGACUGGUGGAGCGCUUAGAAGUGAGAAUGCCGGUAUGAGUAGCGAAAGAAGGGUGAGAAUCCCUUCCACCGAAUGCCUAAGGUUUCCUGAGGAAGGCUCGUCCGCUCAGGGUUAGUCGGGACCUAAGCCGAGGCCGAAAGGCGUAGGCGAUGGAUAACAGGUUGAUAUUCCUGUACCACCUCCACUCCGUUUGAGCAAUGGGGGGACGCAGAAGGAUAGGGUAAGCGCGCUGUUGGAUAUGCGCGUCUAAGCAGCAAGGCUGAGAAGUAGGCAAAUCCGCUUCUCAUUAAGGCUGAGCUGUGAUAGCGAGGGAAAUAUAGUACCGAAGUUCCUGAUUUCACACUGCCAAGAAAAGCCUCUAGCGAGGAGAAUGGUGCCCGUACCGCAAACCGACACAGGUAGGCGAGGAGAGAAUCCUAAGGUGAGCGAGAGAACUCUGGUUAAGGAACUCGGCAAAAUGACCCCGUAACUUCGGGAGAAGGGGUGCUCUGUUAGGGUGUUAAAGCCCGAGAGAGCCGCAGUGAAUAGGCCCAGGCGACUGUUUAGCAAAAACACAGGUCUCUGCGAAGCCGUAAGGCGAAGUAUAGGGGCUGACGCCUGCCCGGUGCUGGAAGGUUAAGGGGAGAGGUUAGCGCAAGCGAAGCUUUGAACCGAAGCCCCAGUAAACGGCGGCCGUAACUAUAACGGUCCUAAGGUAGCGAAAUUCCUUGUCGGGUAAGUUCCGACCCGCACGAAAGGCGUAACGAUCUGGGCACUGUCUCAACCAGAGACUCGGUGAAAUUAUAGUACCUGUGAAGAUGCAGGUUACCCGCGACAGGACGGAAAGACCCCGUGGAGCUUUACUGUAGCCUGAUAUUGAAUUUUGGUACAGCUUGUACAGGAUAGGUAGGAGCCUGAGAAGCCGGAGCGCUAGCUUCGGUGGAGGCGUCGGUGGGAUACUACCCUGGCUGUAUUGAAAUUCUAACCCGCAGCCCUUAUCGGGCUGGGAGACAGUGUCAGGUGGGCAGUUUGACUGGGGCGGUCGCCUCCUAAAGAGUAACGGAGGCGCCCAAAGGUUCCCUCAGAAUGGUUGGAAAUCAUUCGCAGAGUGUAAAGGCACAAGGGAGCUUGACUGCGAGACCUACAAGUCGAGCAGGGACGAAAGUCGGGCUUAGUGAUCCGGUGGUUCCGCAUGGAAGGGCCAUCGCUCAACGGAUAAAAGCUACCCCGGGGAUAACAGGCUUAUCUCCCCCAAGAGUCCACAUCGACGGGGAGGUUUGGCACCUCGAUGUCGGCUCAUCGCAUCCUGGGGCUGUAGUCGGUCCCAAGGGUUGGGCUGUUCGCCCAUUAAAGCGGUACGCGAGCUGGGUUCAGAACGUCGUGAGACAGUUCGGUCCCUAUCCGUCGUGGGCGCAGGAAAUUUGAGAGGAGCUGUCCUUAGUACGAGAGGACCGGGAUGGACGCACCGCUGGUGUACCAGUUGUCUUGCCAAAGGCAUAGCUGGGUAGCUACGUGCGGACGGGAUAAGUGCUGAAAGCAUCUAAGCAUGAAGCCCCCCUCAAGAUGAGAUUUCCUUUU
Molecule: ribosomal RNA, 2231 nt
Filed under: Sutcliffiella horikoshii DSM 8719
Lineage: Bacteria; Bacillati; Bacillota; Bacilli; Caryophanales; Bacillaceae
Description: bacterial LSU rRNA
Rfam family: Bacterial large subunit ribosomal RNA
Source: RNAcentral